This 386-nucleotide ribosomal RNA is filed under the name uncultured prokaryote. RNAcentral's name for it is "bacterial SSU rRNA". It matches the Rfam family "Archaeal small subunit ribosomal RNA", at positions 339 to 725 of the family's 1478-position model. The record is from RNAcentral.
GCGCGAAAACUUUACAAUGCUGGCAACAGCGAUAAGGGAACCUCGAGUGCCAGGUUACAAAUCUGGCUGUCGAGAUGCCUAAAAAGCAUUUCAUAGCAAGGGCCGGGCAAGACCGGUGCCAGCCGCCGCGGUAACACCGGCGGCUCGAGUGGUAACCGUUAUUAUUGGGUCUAAAGGGUCUGUAGCCGGCCGGAUAAGUCUCUUGAGAAAUCUGGCAGCUUAACUGUCAGGCUUUCAGGAGAUACUGUCUGGCUAGAGGCCGGGAGAGGUGAGAGGUACUUCAGGGGUAGGGGUGAAAUCUUGUAAUCCUUGAAGGACCACCAGUGGCGAAGGCGUCUCACCAGAACGGACCUGACGGUAAGGGACGAAAGCUAGGGGCACGAACC